AUUGAACGCUGGCGGCAUGCUUUACACAUGCAAGUCGAACGGUAACAGGCCUUCGGGUGCUGACGAGUGGCGAACGGGUGAGUAAUGCAUCGGAACGUGCCCAGAGGUGGGGGAUAACGCAGCGAAAGCUGUGCUAAUACCGCAUGUGAUCUGAGGAUGAAAGCGGGGGACCAGGCAGCAAUGUUUGGCCUCGCGCCUUUGGAGCGGCCGAUGUCAGAUUAGGUAGUUGGUGGGGUAAAGGCCUACCAAGCCGACGAUCUGUAGCUGGUCUGAGAGGACGACCAGCCACACUGGGACUGAGACACGGCCCAGACUCCUACGGGAGGCAGCAGUGGGGAAUUUUGGACAAUGGGCGCAAGCCUGAUCCAGCAAUGCCGCGUGCGGGAAGAAGGCCUUCGGGUUGUAAACCGCUUUUGUACGGAACGAAAAGGCUCUGGCUAAUACCUGGGGCUGAGGACGGUACCGUAAGAAUAAGCACCGGCUAACUACGU
This 491-nucleotide ribosomal RNA is filed under the name uncultured bacterium. RNAcentral's name for it is "partial 16S ribosomal RNA". It matches the Rfam family "Bacterial small subunit ribosomal RNA", at positions 30 to 506 of the family's 1533-position model. The record is from RNAcentral.